This 371-nucleotide ribosomal RNA is filed under the name uncultured organism. RNAcentral's name for it is "partial 16S ribosomal RNA". It matches the Rfam family "Bacterial small subunit ribosomal RNA", at positions 527 to 896 of the family's 1533-position model. The record is from RNAcentral.
GUAGGUGGCAAGCGUUGUCCGGAAUUAUUGGGCGUAAAGCGCGCGCAGGGCGGUCCUUUAAGUCUGAUGUGAAAGCCACGGCUCAACCGUGGAGGGUCAUUGGAAACUGGGGGACUUGAGUACAGAAGAGGAAAGCGGAAUUCCAAGUGUAGCGGUGAAAUGCGUAGAGAUUUGGAGGAACACCAGUGGCGAAGGCGGCUUUCUGGUCUGUAACUGACGCUGAGGCGCGAAAGCGUGGGGAGCAAACAGGAUUAGAUACCCUGGUAGUCCACGCCGUAAACGAUGAGUGCUAAGUGUUAGGGGGUUUCCGCCCCUUAGUGCUGCAGCUAACGCAUUAAGCACUCCGCCUGGGGAGUACGGCCGCAAGGCUG